UUUUUGGUGGUUUUGGUUUACCAGGUUUAGCUUUUUACUUAAAAGUGAGAUCUUUUUACAUUUUAGAUUUUUCUAAAUAACCUAGUCAUUUCUUUCAUAUUUUUCUUGAUUUUUGAUUUAUUUUUCUUUCCAAACCAAUAGGGUUGCAUGUUCUCCCAAAUAACUUGUUGCAGAAAUUGUUUUCAACCUCAGUUUUGCCCUGCCUUGAUCACAAUUGUAGCCCUGGCACCACCCAAGUUUGUGCUAGGGUUUUAUUGUUUUUCGUCAGGGGUGAGGGGGGCAUGCCCUGUCUUGAACCCACCCCACAGACCUUCCUAGUUACCUCUAAUUUGGGGAAUAUAUGGCAAUGGUGAGUAGUCCUAAUAGAGUCAUUAGUUAUUAAAUGCAUUGACCACCGGUAUCAUGCUCUUUAUCAUAGCUUGAUAGAUAGCUAAAUAAAGUUAUCUUGUGCACAAAUGUACAAGCCCAAAAUACAACUAAUUUAUUCUAAUAUGGGUUUCAACUUAACAAUUAUCUUUGAUGAAGUGCAUACGAUGAACUAGCCUCUCAUUAUCAUCUCCUCUGCGGAACGAUACUGUCAUAAGCCUCUUGGCAGCUAGGAGUAUAAAAGGAAAUAAGCACAUGGGUUGUAAUCCAUGAUCACUGAUAAUUUUUAAUUUUGUUCCCAUUUUCAUGCAGGGUUUUACAAAUGCAGUUAAAAGGCCAGUUCAGAUUCGUGAAUUUUUGCUAUAACUGGGAUCAGAAUUAUUGAAGACAAGAUGCGGCAGGAACACUACGUAAACUGAGUUCUACAUUUGGCUUAUAUUAUAUUGAA
This is a long non-coding RNA of Vitis riparia (riverbank grape), 814 nucleotides long. RefSeq lists it as uncharacterized. The transcript has 2 exons. The record is from RefSeq and is a predicted model, not a curated record. NCBI's taxonomy places the organism in Eukaryota, Viridiplantae, Streptophyta, Magnoliopsida, Vitales, Vitaceae.